CCUACGUGUGGCAGCAGUGGGGAAUAUUGCACAAUGGGGGAAACUCUGAUGCAGCAAUGCCGCGUGAGUGAAGAAGGCUUUAGGAGUGUAACGCUCUGUUAGCAGGGAAGAGGACGGACGGUACCUGCAGAGGAAGCCACGGCUACCUACGUGCGAGCAGCCGCGGUAAUACGUAGGUGGCAAGCGUUGUUCGGAAUAACUGGGCGUAAGGGAUGCAUAGGCGGUUAAACAAGUUAUAUGUUAAAUAUAUAGGCUUAACCUGUAGAACGCAUAUAAAACUGUUUAACUAGAGUGCAGGAGAGGUAGGUGGAAUGCCUAGUGUAGCGGUGAAAUGCGUAGAGAUUAGGAAGAACACCAGUGGCGAAGGCGACUUACUGGACUGUAACUGACGCUGAGGCAUGAGAGCAUGGGGAGCAAACAGGAUUAGAUACCCCUGUAGUC
This 441-nucleotide ribosomal RNA is filed under the name uncultured bacterium. RNAcentral's name for it is "partial 16S ribosomal RNA". It matches the Rfam family "Bacterial small subunit ribosomal RNA", at positions 338 to 795 of the family's 1533-position model. The record is from RNAcentral.